UUAUUACUCCCUCCGUCUCAAAAUUCUUAUCUUUAAUUUGUCUAGAUAUGAAUGCAUCUAGUCAUGUAUUUGUAUUUAGAUACAUUCAUUUUUAGCCGAUCGUAAGAGAAGAAUUUUGGGACGGAGGGAGUACUUA
Non-coding RNA from Hordeum vulgare subsp. vulgare (domesticated barley), 136 nucleotides. Lineage: Eukaryota; Viridiplantae; Streptophyta; Magnoliopsida; Poales; Poaceae. The record is from Rfam.